GCUGUAAACACUACUUUAUUAAGCACGAGUGUGUAAUUCUCUGAAAUAUUUCUUUGUGGGAAAGAGAUUCUGCCCCGCACGGCCCAAUUCAAAGCUUCCGCUAGUGCUAAGCCCAAUGUUUCCGAAUUUCCCGCUGACCGAGACUCCAGGUCCACAGAUCGCCCCUCGCAGCCGAUCCCCGACCCCGGCCCUGGCGGAGGCGGGAGACGGCUGCGGACCUGCAGCCCCGGUAGACAGAGGACCAGAGUGCGGGCCUCUCAAAGGCGGGGACUUGGUGGAAGCGGUCCAGUUCUCGCGAGGUUUCGUCCUGACCCGAGCAGGCGACAGCUCCGCGGAGAGAGUGGGUUUCGCUCACAGGAGGGAGCCGAAGGGCCCGGAGUGGUCGUUGCUACCCGGGGUCCGAGCCGGGGGAGAAGCCGUCACCUGUAAAAAGCCAGUUCUCCCUAAAGUCACCCCUGGGGAAGUCCAAGGCAGCGCUGGCCUCUUCCUUCGGCUGUGGGGGCAGCGCAGGCAAACCUUGCCGGCUAAAGAGAACCGCCCUAAGCAAAGUGGUCAUCCAGCGGCUGCCCCCCAGCAUCACCAAGGAGCAGCUGGAACAGCAGCUGCACCUGCUGCCCGCACACCUUUACCACUGAGCUCGGAACCUUUCCUUUAGGAGAAAUUGCUGAGCUCUGCAGGAACUGUGAAUGGUGACUAUCUGGUAAUUCUAAGACUGAAAAGCAAGAGGAAAAGAGAUGGGAAAUGAGAAUUGAUGGGGAGAAGCAGGGGCAUCCAUGUUCAACCUCAGCCUGAGAGUCUGAGUUAAUCUGCAGUGAAGGUAAGGACUACCAGGAGCUGGCCCCCCCUGACUUUGUCACCUGGGAACAGCCAAACAGUCGUGGCCACUUUCAGAGAAAUAAAGAAGGUAGGAGAGCACCCCUGGGAGCUAGA
Molecule: long non-coding RNA, 930 nt
Filed under: Bos indicus x Bos taurus (hybrid cattle)
Lineage: Eukaryota; Metazoa; Chordata; Mammalia; Artiodactyla; Bovidae
Description: lncRNA (ENSBIXG00000012551.1)
Source: RNAcentral